GGCUACCACAUUAGCAUUUUGGCACCGCGCGCGCGCAUUAGCUAGUUGGUGAGGUAACGGCUCACCAAGGCGACGAUGCGUAGCCGACCUGAGAGGGUGAUCGGCCACACUGGGACUGAGACACGGCCCAGACUCCUACGGGAGGCAGCAGUAGGGAAUCUUCCGCAAUGGACGAAAGUCUGACGGAGCAACGCCGCGUGAGUGAUGAAGGUUUUCGGAUCGUAAAGCUCUGUUGUUAGGGAAGAACAAGUGCCGUUCAAAUAGGGCGGCACCUUGACGGUACCUAACCAGAAAGCCACGGCUAACUACGUGCCAGCAGCCGCGGUAAUACGUAGGUGGCAAGCGUUGUCCGGAAUUAUUGGGCGUAAAGGGCUCGCAGGCGGUUUCUUAAGUCUGAUGUGAAAGCCCCCGGCUCAACCGGGGAGGGUCAUUGGAAACUGGGGAACUUGAGUGCAGAAGAGGAGAGUGGAAUUCCACGUGUAGCGGUGAAAUGCGUAGAGAUGUGGAGGAACACCAGUGGCGAAGGCGACUCUCUGGUCUGUAACUGACGCUGAGGAGCGAAAGCGUGGGGAGCGAACAGGAUUAGAUACCCUGGUAGUCCACGCCGUAAACGAUGAGUGCUAAGUGUUA
Molecule: ribosomal RNA, 630 nt
Filed under: Bacillus sp. (in: firmicutes)
Lineage: Bacteria; Bacillati; Bacillota; Bacilli; Caryophanales; Bacillaceae
Description: bacterial SSU rRNA
Rfam family: Bacterial small subunit ribosomal RNA
Source: RNAcentral